UCCCAGACUCCUACGGGAGGCAGCAGUGAGGAAUAUUGGUCAAUGGGCGCGAGCCUGAACCAGCCAAGUCGCGUGAGGGAGGACGGCCCUACGGGUUGUAAACCUCUUUUGCCGGGGAGCAACGGGCGUCACGUGUGGCGCCACUGAGAGUACCCGGAGAAAAAGCAUCGGCUAACUCCGUGCCAGCAGCCGCGGUAAUACGUAGGGAGCGAGCGUUGUCCGGAAUUACUGGGUGUAAAGGGAGCGUAGGCGGGAUUGCAAGUUGGAUGUGAAAACUGCGGGCUCAACCCGGAGCGUGCAUUCAAAACUGCGAUUCUUGAGUGAAGUAGAGGCAAGCGGAAUUCCUAGUGUAGCGGUGAAAUGCGUAGAUAUUAGGAGGAACACCAGUGGCGAAGGCGGCUUGCUGGGCUUUUACUGACGCUGAGGCUCGAAAGUGUGGGGAGCAAACAGGAUUAGAUACCCUCGUAG
RNAcentral lists this ribosomal RNA (468 nucleotides) under uncultured bacterium. RNAcentral's name for it is "bacterial SSU rRNA". It matches the Rfam family "Bacterial small subunit ribosomal RNA", at positions 329 to 793 of the family's 1533-position model. The record is from RNAcentral.